Long non-coding RNA from Monodelphis domestica (gray short-tailed opossum), 2219 nucleotides. NCBI's taxonomy places the organism in Eukaryota, Metazoa, Chordata, Mammalia, Didelphimorphia, Didelphidae. The record is from Ensembl.
GCUCCUCUUCCUUCCGUCCAGGCUAGCCAAGGUAGGGGCUGGGGGCUGGGGGCCGCGUGUCCUAGUGCACGGCUCACAGCUGCUUAGCAAUGCAUAAAAAGAUUUACAGAUGUAGAGCCAUAUCGGGGCACGUCGGGAGGGAACAGAUCCCCAGCUCCCGUCGCCCAGCUCUGCCCUGCCCGAUCAUUUUCUAGCAGAGGGAAAUUGCUGGCUUCCACUAAUUCUCUCCAGGUUCAGAGUCCCUAUUGACCACAUCUCCUCACCCCUCCUUCCUCACUCUUCCCUGAUUGCCUCUUCCUCCCUCCCUUUUUCUCCCAACCCUGAGGGAUUUUGAGCAACCAUAACAGGCGAUGACAAUUAAGCCCAUUCAAAAACAAGUCAUUUGCAUGCAACUCAUUGGCAAGGCAGAGAAGACUCAACCUGUCAUUAUCUUUUGGCAUCAGUCUGGUAACUGCUUGGACUGCUGGGGGGACGUUUGCUGCUAAGGGGAGAGCCAGGCUGGGACGACAUUUGUAAAUGGGAUUGGUCACUGGGUGCCAGGUUAGGAGGUCAGGAAUAGGUAACUUCAGGGGAAACGAGAAUGCCCUAGAUUUAAUUCCGUACAGGCAAUGGACAAAAAUGAAGGAAGCAUUUUCUCUGCUUUGUGUAAAGGAGACAACAUUGGGGGAUGAGAUGUGUGAAGGAAAUGUGGUUUAGGGCCAGUGGGUGGGAGUGCCAGAAAUCAGCGGAUGGCUGGUCCCACCUUCCCAGCUGGAAUUUACUGAAUGAGAUUAUCCCUUGAAAAGUAUUAAAAGCCGCCAUUUUGCUAUGCCCCCACAGAGUAGGCUCUGUAGCAGCUGCCACAUCACACAGGCACCCCAGCUGUUCUGCUAGCACCCACCACUUCUCCUCUUCCAGCCGCCUCCAUUCCUGCCCCCAGAAAUAAAGCACCAUGAGCUGCAAACACCCAUUGGUUCAUUGUGCUAACCCAGCACUUCUAUCUUCAGAGCAAGGCAAUGGAGAAAAAGAGAAAGAGAAACAAAGGAUUCCCUCUCCCUGGAUCAGGACGUGCCACAGGAUGCCAAUGGUAGAACUGAUGUUCCAAGGAUGUCUCCUACAGUGCCAAGGACAGAAAGUCAUUUGGGGAAGGGAGAAUCACAUAACUUCAGAAUUGGAGGAGACCUCAGAGUCCAGUGUGACUAUGAUGUACCUGACAAAUAAUAAUCUAGCCUUUGCAUGAGGAAAUGCCCAAGAUUUCCCAAGGUGCCACUGUAUUUUGGAAAUUUUGUUCUAAUUGUUGGGAGUUUUUUCCUUCUUUUGUUACUUCCACUUUCUAGUUCUACCCUCCAGAGCCAAGGAAAGCAAGUCUAGUCUCUUUCUCUGUCUCUUUCCUUCCUCAGAUUUUAAACUGGCACAGAGGCUGACCUCAAGGUAACAAAUACUUAGCCUAGUUUGGUCUAGCAUACAACUUCCCAAGGUAAAUAGGCUGGAAGUUUACACUGGCCAUAGAGACAUCUCUUAGGAAUGGCCUCUCCUCCCUACUUUCUAUGAUUUCCCAGACAUCAAAGGACACAGCUCUUGAACAAUGCAGUCAGGGACAUUUCUCUGCCAUCAAACAAGUGCCCAGGUGCAUGCAAGAAUGCCUUGAUCAAUUUCAUUUCAUAUAGCGAGACUGAUAAAUGAUAACCUGACUUUACCCUGAAGUGUCGUUCAACAAGGUUUGACCAACCCCACAUUUAAAACAUUUUCUUGAGGAGCCAUAACACUGUUAUGUUUUCUUGAGGAGCCAUAACUCAUCUACAAUGAGUUCUUUUUUGUUUUAAAACCCUUAUCUUCCGCCUUAGAAUCAAUACUAUGUGUUGAUUCUAAGGCAGAAGAGUGGUAAGGGCUAGGCAGUGAGGGUUAAGGGGUUUGCCCAGGGUCCCACAGCUAGGAAGUAUCUGAGGCCAGAUUUGAAUCUAGGACCUCCUGUCUUUACGCUUGGCUCUCAAUCCACUGAGCUACCCAGCUGCCCGCUACAAUGGGUUCUUACUAAUUAAAGUUCUUACAAUAACACCUGACACAUGGUGGGUACUUAAAAAAUGCUUGUUCCCUUCUGCACCCCCCUAAUCUUCAGUCCCUCCUUUUUUCUAAUGUACUGGAUAGUUUGAUGUAUAUAUACCCAUUUUAUCUCAUGGAGAUCAUAAGUUCUCAGAAAUCAUCAGUCUAAUCAUCCAUUCUAAAUUUUGUCAAUGAUUGGC